This 564-nucleotide non-coding RNA is filed under the name Campylobacter gracilis RM3268. RNAcentral's name for it is "Bacterial large subunit ribosomal RNA". It matches the Rfam family "Bacterial large subunit ribosomal RNA", at positions 1 to 586 of the family's 2925-position model. The record is from Rfam by way of RNAcentral. Lineage: Bacteria; Pseudomonadati; Campylobacterota; Epsilonproteobacteria; Campylobacterales; Campylobacteraceae.
AGGUAAGCUACUAAGAGCGAACGGUGGAUGCCUUGGCUAGUAGAGGCGAUGAAAGACGUGCCAGACUGCGAUAAGUCUCGGGGAGCCGUCAAGGGGCUUUGAUCCGGGAAUUUCUGAAUGGGGCAACCCAAUACAUAGCGAUAUGUGUUACCAUUAAUGGAGCCAACGCGGGGAACUGAAACAUCUAAGUACCCGCAGGAAGAGAAAUCAAUAGAGAUUACGCUAGUAGCGGCGAGCGAACGCGUAAGAGGGCAAACCACUAGUUUACUAGUGGGGUUGUAGGACCGCAACAUAGACUAGGAUCUGAUAAUAGAACAAUCUGGAAAGGUUGGGCAUAGAGGGUGAUACUCCCGUAUAUGAAAUCACAUCCUUACUUAGCGGUAUCCUGAGUAGGACGGGACACGUGAAAUCCUGUCUGAAGCCGGGUCGACCACGAUCCAACCCUAAAUACUACUACUAGACCGAUAGCGUACAAGUACCGUGAGGGAAAGGUGAAAAGAACGGCGGUGAGCCGAGUGAAAUAGAACCUGAAACCGUUUGCUUACAAUCAUUCAGAGCACUAUG